RNAcentral lists this ribosomal RNA (552 nucleotides) under Triticum aestivum (bread wheat). Its description in RNAcentral is "partial small subunit ribosomal RNA". The record is from RNAcentral. Lineage: Eukaryota; Viridiplantae; Streptophyta; Magnoliopsida; Poales; Poaceae.
AUGAAGACCUUCCUCGUCCUUGCCCUCCUUGUCGUUGUGGCGACCAUUGAACCCGCCAACUCCGAUAUUCUACGUAGUGAUCAACCACAACAAUCAUUUCCACAGCAACCACAACAGAAAACCGUUCAGUCCUUUUUUGAACAACAAUUGAUCUCAUGCAGGGAUGUCCUGUUGAUGCAGUGCAACAUACUGGUACCGUCCUUCAAGUCACAAAUAUUGCAGGAAAAUGUUUGUGCGGUGAUGCGGAAAGAGUGUUGUGAGCAGUUCAGGCAGGUCCCUGAGCAAUCACGAUGCCUGGCCAUCAAUAGUGUCGCGCAUGCCAUUAUUUUGCAUGAGCAACAGCAACAUCAGCAACAACAACAAUACUCAUGGGGCGUGGGCACGUUCAAGCUACCUCAACAACAAUACCCAUCGGGCCAGGGCUCCAUCCAACCUCCAUUUUAGGCAAUAAGGACGUUUGUCUUGCAAACACUACCAACGGCGUGCGGUGCGUAUGUCUCACAAUACUGCUCCACCACCACCGGCUCAUUUGGCGGCUUCUUUGGUAACUGA